AACCCACGUGGAAUUUUAAACCGGAUUGCUUCUCUCCAUUACGCUUCCAAGUUCCAAGUUUUAAAAACAUGUCGUGUGAAUUCCUUGCAAAGAUAUUCUAAUUACCCAAUCUUUGCAUUCUUUAUGCGUGUUUUAAUCCAAAUCUCUCUGGAUCCUUAUCAGAAUUUCAAAACAACAACCAUUCGAAGAAUUGAGAGUUGUGAACACAACAUUUUUUGGUGAGGUUCCAUAUUCAAUGGGGAAUUCCUUACCAACUUAGGGUAUAAGAUCUUGUAGUUUUUCAGAAUUGAUUCCGCCUUCACUUGGUAAUCUUAUCAAGAUUACUCAUCUUUACUUAUAUAACAGCAAAUUUUCAGGGAUUAUGAGUACUAUGAAGAGUUCAGUGUCUAAACUGAAAAUCAAAGUAACAGGCAUUGAAAUCCUUGACAAUGAUGCAAAUAAGCUGCAAGUAUUCAGUUUUAUAGCCGUUAAAGCGGCUACGAAUAACUUUUCGAAUGAUAAUAAGCUUGGCUAGGGUGGAUAUGGACCUGUGUACAAGGUAAUACUUGCAGAUUGUUACAUGUUAGGAACUGAUUUAAGAGUUGCAGCUGAUGCCAAUUAUGGGGCUGUUCAUGAUAUUCUUAAACUAUUGGGUUAAUAGAGUGUUUUCUUUAGAAGAGUAGUGGCUUAAUACUGAAGGGACAAGAAAUAGCAAUAAAGAGGUUUUCAGAAACUUCUCAUCAAGGACUUAAAGAGUUCAAGAAGGAAGUUGAGCUUACUGCAAGGCUUCAGCAUGUAAAUCUAGUACUAGUCUUGGGAAUUUGCACAAAAGCUUGGAUUUAUGCACCUUUGGCAUGCCACUUUAUGUUUCCCACCGUCCUCUAUAUAUCCUUAUUUGGGUUCAAAUAGCUUCUCUAAGUGCAAUACUAAAAAAUGAAUUAUGUAUCUGCAAAUUCUGACAAACGGUAUCUUUUAGACUGAAAAAAACGUGUUUGAAUCAUUGAAGAUACUCAAAGAUUUUUAUAUUUGCAAGAAUACUCAAAGUUUACAAUAGUUCAUAUAGACUUAAAGGUCAACAAUAUUUCGUUGUAUAACGAAAUGAAUCCCAAAAUUUCAAAUUUUGACAUGGCUAGAGCUUUCAAAAAAGAUGAAUGCAAAACUAACCCAGAUGGCAUUGCUGGAAUAUAGUAAGUAAUUCAUUUGCCUAAGUUGAUAUGUGACAAGUGUCAUGCUUGAAUAAUGGCCUUUUCUUUGCUAUGCUGAAUUGCAGUGGCUACAUUCCUCUUGAAUUUGUAAGAAAAGGUGUAUACUCCAUAAAGUAUGAUGUUUAUAGCUAUGGAGUUCUUCUGCAGAUCAUUAGUGGCAAGAAGACUGCAUGCUAUUAUAGCUCCAGUGAAACUUUAAACCUUGAGGAAUAUGAAAAUAAUUUUUUUAUACUAAAAUUAGAAGACAAAAUUUCAGUCUGAUGUAAAAUUUGGUAUGUUUCAGGGGUAUGAGUUGUUCAGAGAAGGUGAAAGCAUGAAGUUUUUCGAUUCAUCACUGGAUGAUUCUUCUUCUCCAUUGAAACUGAAGAGAUGCAUGCAAGUAGCUUUACUAUGUGUUCAGGAAAUUCCUGCGGAUAGACCUAUCAUGGUCAGAAUUUAUAACAUGCUCAAAGGUGAAAGUGCUAACAUCCCUUCUCCAAGGAAGCCUGCUUUUUCUGUUUAAAGAGAUGAACAUGAGUCUAGUAAUUGCACCUUCAAGGAAAAAAUAUUUUCAGUCAAUGAUACAACAAUUACUCAACUUGAGCCACGAUGAGUCGAGGGCUAAUCUUCAAAGAUAUUCAAGUAAUUGUAGAUUCUUUAUUAUGUAUGGCACUACCUGUAAAACACUGUUGUAAUUGCUUUGAUUCCUGGUAAGCAGAGGAGAAUGCAGGGUUCCAACGAGAUAGUCAGGCUUUUCAUUCUUUUAUUUUUUGUCCCAUGUAAUGUUACAGAGAAUUGUUUAAUUUUUUUUUCACCCUUAAA
Molecule: long non-coding RNA, 1985 nt
Organism: Mangifera indica (mango)
Lineage: Eukaryota; Viridiplantae; Streptophyta; Magnoliopsida; Sapindales; Anacardiaceae
Exons: 2
Source: RefSeq, a predicted model, not a curated record